GUGACCUCAAAUCAGGUAGGACUACCCGCUGAACUUAAGCAUAUCAAUAAGCGGAGGAAAAGAAACUAACAAGGAUUCCCCUAGUAACUGCGAGUGAAGCGGGAAAAGCUCAAAUUUAAAAUCUGGCGGUCCUUUGGCUGUCCGAGUUGUAAUCUAGAGAAGUGUUAUCCGCGCUGGACG
This 180-nucleotide ribosomal RNA is filed under the name Cortinarius flexipes. Its description in RNAcentral is "partial 25S ribosomal RNA". It matches the Rfam family "Eukaryotic large subunit ribosomal RNA", at positions 1 to 176 of the family's 3401-position model. The record is from RNAcentral. Lineage: Eukaryota; Fungi; Basidiomycota; Agaricomycetes; Agaricales; Cortinariaceae.